GGGAGCGGGCACGCGCGUGCGGCGCUGGGCUGGCUAGGCGGCGGCUCGCGCGAGAAGUUGGGCCGGUUCGGCCCAAUUCGGCCGGGCCGGUCCGUUUACUCUUUUUUUUUUAGCCUUUUCUUUUUCUGCUGUUCUCAUUUCUUUGAUAACUUUUGAGUUUGAACUCCAAACUGGUCCAAAUAAAUUCCAGAAAAUUUGUAAAAUCAUGUUCUACCAUGAUACUGUUGGGGAACGCGGUAUGCUACGCUGGCACAAAAUAAAAUUUUCUACCGCUUCCGCCCGGAACAAUGAUGUAGAUAAUGGAUCACGAGAUUACCACUAGACGCGCAGACCCGUAGCGGAAGUAGAGUCGAUGUAGCGCGUCGAUGCCGAGUAGUCGAACAGCCUGCUCCUCCCCGCCGAUCCCACGAACAGUUUGUCCAAGCGCCGCAGGUGCAGCGCCUCCGAGGUAUCCACACGUACAGGGAGGAACUCCGUGCGGCAGACUGCUAGAUCCGAUCGCAAGGCUUUAGGCAUGGAGGUGCGACGGCCGAGUCUAACUCGCGUCUAAACUCGGGUUGACCCUAGACGGGUUGGUCUCCUCCACUUAUAUAGACG
This 597-nucleotide long non-coding RNA is filed under the name Brachypodium distachyon (stiff brome). RNAcentral describes it as "long non-coding RNA (BDIS_LNC002445)". The record is from RNAcentral. Lineage: Eukaryota; Viridiplantae; Streptophyta; Magnoliopsida; Poales; Poaceae.